Doryrhamphus excisus (bluestripe pipefish) is the source of this 738-nucleotide long non-coding RNA. RefSeq lists it as uncharacterized. NCBI's taxonomy places the organism in Eukaryota, Metazoa, Chordata, Actinopteri, Syngnathiformes, Syngnathidae. The record is from RefSeq and is a predicted model, not a curated record.
CUGGUAAAAGGCACGGAGUGUCCCUGAAUGCGCCUCAGAACCAGGAAGUGUUGCUGUCAGGACGAGCGGACUAAAGACGUGUUUAUGUUUAUGUUCCGUUUUGCAACGCCGAAUUGUCUUGUGGGACAGCCAGCAUAUGAGCGUCUAAUUAGCAAUUCUAACAAUCCUCGGCACCCAGCAACGAGGCUGUGUAAACCCGCUCAUCACUGGUGAAAACAUUCACUCUGAGUGGGAGGUAAUACGCCACGGUCUCUCACGGCAACGUUCUCGUACUGUCGACUUGAGGUGUGACCAAUGCCACCAAGAACAGCCCACACCUUGACUUGCGCUCCUAAUGUGCACACCCCCCCACCACCACGCCACCGCGCUGCCUGCCUGACCACCGCUACAAAUUGGCUUCCGACGGAAUGUGAGGUGUCAAAGAGCCAUUAGAGGCACGGAGACUCAAUGUCUGCCUCGGAAUCAAGUGACAAGUGCAACAAUCCGCUCGCAAUUAACUUUGACGACAAAGCUGUAUCUUUUUACCAUUUCAGCCUUGUUUUUAUACAGGACGCUAGUUAGAAGAUAGAGCUGCUCAUCAACAUCGGUAUUGGUUGGUAUCUGUAUCAGUAAUAAAGUGCCCAAUAUCGGUAAAAAAAGCCAAUAUCAAGUGCCUUAGUUAACAUCAUUAAUCCAUUCCAGAAGGUCUGACUCAAACCAAAACAGUCUCUAACCAAAGCAAAUUUUCCCAUACAAAAU